CAGUCGCCGCGGUAAUACGAAGGGGGCUAGCGUUGUUCGGAUUUACUGGGCGUAAAGCGCACGUAGGCGGACUUUUAAGUCAGGGGUGAAAUCCCGGGGCUCAACCCAGGAACUGCCUUUGAUACUGGAAGUCUUGAGUAUGGUAGAGGUGAGUGGAAUUCCGAGUGUAGAGGUGAAAUUCGUAGAUAUUCGGAGGAACACCAGUGGCGAAGGCGGCUCACUGGACCAUUACUGACGCUGAGGUGCGAAAGCGUGGGGAGCAAACAGGAUUAGAUACCCCUGUAGUCCCUGUCUCUUAUAC
Molecule: ribosomal RNA, 301 nt
Filed under: uncultured bacterium
Lineage: Bacteria
Description: partial 16S ribosomal RNA
Rfam family: Bacterial small subunit ribosomal RNA
Source: RNAcentral